Molecule: ribosomal RNA, 490 nt
Filed under: uncultured bacterium
Lineage: Bacteria
Description: partial 16S ribosomal RNA
Rfam family: Bacterial small subunit ribosomal RNA
Source: RNAcentral
AUUGAACGCUGGCGGCAGGCCUAACACAUGCAAGUCGAACGGUAACAGGAAACAGCUUGCUGUUUCGCUGACGAGUGGCGGACGGGUGAGUAAUGUCUGGGAAACUGCCUGAUGGAGGGGGAUAACUACUGGAAACGGUAGCUAAUACCGCAUAACGUCGCAAGACAAAAGAGGGGGACCUUCAGGCCUCUUGCCAUCGGAUGUGCCCAGAUGGGAUUAGCUAGUAGGUGGGGUAACGGCUCACCUAGGCGACGAUCCCUAGCUGGUCUGAGAGGAUGACCAGCCACACUGGAACUGAGACACGGUCCAGACUCCUACGGGAGGCAGCAGUGGGGAAUAUUGCACAAUGGGCGCAAGCCUGAUGCAGCCAUGCCGCGUGUAUGAAGAAGGCCUUCGGGUUGUAAAGUACUUUCAGCGGGGAGGAAGGGAGUAAAGUUAAUACCUUUGCUCAUUGACGUUACCCGCAGAAGAAGCACCGGCUAACUCCGUG